CCACCAUUUAAUAUUUGUCUGCUCAAAUGAACAAUAAAUCUUCCGACUAUAACAAUAAACCAAGUUUCAAUACCAGCCACAUGUUGUUUUUUUUUGGACUGGGAAUUUUUCAGAACCUCUUUUGAAAGGUCACUUUUCUCUAGUCAUCACUUUUGAUACUUCCCAUGAGUGACAUGCUUAAAACAGGCUUGACUGUACAUGAUCCUUGAUACUAAAUAGAUCUUUAUAUUCAAAUUUUAUAGGGGGCCUCGGUGGCCGAAAUUAGUUACUACUGUAAUCACUAGCCAGUCAACACUGAGGUUGUGAGUUCGAACCUGCUUGUGCGGGUGCAUUUGACUCCGCUCUUAAUUGACUAGGAUUGUCAGUUUUCCUAGCGAAUGUCUGUGGUUUUCUCCAGGAAAUCUGGCUUCCUCUACCAAUAAAAACUGAUCGCCACGAAAUAGCCUAAAUGCGUUGCUUAAAAGUGGAGUUAAAACGCCAAAAAUCAAAUCAAAUUUUAUAAAAACUUAUAAAUUUUCAGCAGUAUAAUUUUUUCCCAUUAUGUUUUUCUCUCGCUUUUCUUAAAUAUAUACUGCCCAUCAAAAACAAAGAUGUGUAAUAUAAAAG
RNAcentral lists this long non-coding RNA (606 nucleotides) under Mytilus galloprovincialis (Mediterranean mussel). Lineage: Eukaryota; Metazoa; Mollusca; Bivalvia; Mytilida; Mytilidae. The record is from RNAcentral.